RNAcentral lists this ribosomal RNA (429 nucleotides) under Pseudomonadota bacterium. Its description in RNAcentral is "Proteobacteria bacterium partial 16S ribosomal RNA". It matches the Rfam family "Bacterial small subunit ribosomal RNA", at positions 355 to 776 of the family's 1533-position model. Lineage: Bacteria; Pseudomonadati; Pseudomonadota. The record is from RNAcentral.
UGGGGAAUAUUGGACAAUGGGCGAAAGCCUGAUCCAGCCAUGCCGCGUGUGUGAAGAAGGUCUUCGGAUUGUAAAGCACUUUAAGUUGGGAGGAAGGGCAGUAAGCGAAUACCUUGCUGUUUUGACGUCACCGACAGAAUAAGCACCGGCUAACUCUGUGCCAGCAGCCGCGGUGAUACAGAGGGUGCAAGCGUUAAUCGGAAUUACUGGGCGUAAAGCGCGCGUAGGUGGUUCAUUAAGUUGAAUGUGAAAACCCCGGGCUCAACCUGGGAACUGCAUCCAAAACUGGCGAGCUAGAGUAGGGCAGAGGGUGGUGGAAUUUUCUGGGUAGCGGUGAAAUGCGUAGAUAUAGGAAGGAACACCAGUGGCGAAGGCGACCACCUGGGCUCAUACUGACACUGAGGUGCGAAAGCGUGGGGGGCAAACAGG